GUAGGGUGCAAGCGUUGUUCGGAAUCAUUGGGCGUAAAGCGCGUGUAGGCGGCCUGUUAAGUCUGAUGUGAAAGCCCGGGGCUCAACCCCGGAAGUGCAUUGGAUACUGGCAGGCUAGAGGGCGAGAGAGGAUGGUGGAAUUCCUGGUGUAGGGGUGAAAUCCGUAGAUAUCAGGAGGAACACCGGAGGCGAAGGCGGCCAUCUGGCUCGCAUCUGACGCUGAGACGCGAAAGCGUGGGGGGGAGCAAACAGGAUUAGAUACCCUGGUAGUCCACGCCCUAAACGAUGGAUACUAGUCGUCGGAAUACCUAAUUGUUUCGGUGACAUAGCUAACGCAGUAAGUAUCCCCGCCCUGGGAUUACGGUCGCAAGAUUA
This 375-nucleotide ribosomal RNA is filed under the name uncultured organism. Its description in RNAcentral is "partial 16S ribosomal RNA". It matches the Rfam family "Bacterial small subunit ribosomal RNA", at positions 527 to 896 of the family's 1533-position model. The record is from RNAcentral.